This 543-nucleotide small RNA is filed under the name Pan troglodytes (chimpanzee). Its description in RNAcentral is "processed transcript". Lineage: Eukaryota; Metazoa; Chordata; Mammalia; Primates; Hominidae. The record is from RNAcentral.
UUCUACCAAGCAACGAUAAAACAGCUAGACUUUGUGAAUGAUACAGAGAAGUCCACAACACGUGUAAACUCCUGGGUUGCUGAUAAGACUAAAGUCCACAAGGGAACGAAGAAACACCACCAACAGCGUCCACAUGGCCUUCACGACAUGGCCCUGUGGACACAUCAGACAUUGUCUUGCAGUGCCUCAUCCACACUAUCUGUACCACUGCAGGCCUGGAUACGUCAUGGUUUUCAUGGUGCUAUCUUGUGCCUCUUUGCACCUGCACGCACUGUGUUUCCUACAUGGGAUAUCUGUGUUUACAACCAAACUCCCAGGGGCCAAAUUAUAUCCUUUGUAAAGGACUUCAAACCACCAGGCAUUUGCUGGAAGUUUCACGGAGGAAAACAAGCAUUUUUCAUCUUCUAAUCUGGUUUGCUGGUCAAAGAGGAAAAGGAGUGGAUGGACAAAGUGGGGCCCAAAGUCUGGAUCUAGUUCUGACCAACAAGGAGAAAUUGAUGCACAAUGGGGAAGUGACCUUGGCAUUUUCAACUGGCAGAGCCG